This 1069-nucleotide ribosomal RNA is filed under the name uncultured Enterococcaceae bacterium. RNAcentral describes it as "bacterial SSU rRNA". It matches the Rfam family "Bacterial small subunit ribosomal RNA", at positions 336 to 1397 of the family's 1533-position model. The record is from RNAcentral. Lineage: Bacteria; Bacillati; Bacillota; Bacilli; Lactobacillales; Enterococcaceae.
CUCCUACGGGAGGCAGCAGUAGGGAAUCUUCGGCAAAGGGGGCAACCCUAGACCGAGCAACGCCGCGUGAGUGAAGAAGGUUUUCGGAUCGUAAAGCUCUGUUGUAAGUCAAGAACGGGUGUGAGAGUGGAAAGUUCACACUGUGACGGUAGCUUACCAGAAAGGGACGGCUAACUACGUGCCAGCAGCCGCGGUAAUACGUAGGUCCCGAGCGUUGUCCGGAUUUAUUGGGCGUAAAGCGAGCGCAGGUGGUUUAUUAAGUCUGGUGUAAAAGGCAGUGGCUCAACCACUGUAUGCAUUGGAAACUGGUAGACUUGAGUGCAGGAGAGGAGAGUGGAAUUCCAUGUGUAGCGGUGAAAUGCGUAGAUAUAUGGAGGAACACCGGUGGCGAAAGCGGCUCUCUGGCCUGUAACUGGCACUGAGGCUCGAAAGCGUGGGGAGCAAACAGGAUUAGAUACCCUGGUAGUCCACGCCGUAAACGAUGAGUGCUAAGUGUUGGAGGGUUUCCGCCCUUCAGUGCUGCAGCUAACGCAUUAAGCACUCCGCCUGGGGAGUACGACCGCAAGGUUGAAACUCAAAGGAAUUGACGGGGGCCCGCACAGGCGGUGGAGCAUGUGGUUUAAUUCGAAGCAACGCGAAGAACCUUACCAGGUCUUGACAUCCUUUGACCACUCUAGAGAUAGAACUUCCCCUUCGGGGGCAAAGUGACAGGUGGUGCAUGGUUGUCGUCAGCUCGUGUCGUGAGAUGUUGGGUUAAGUCCCGCAACGAGCGCAACCCUUAUUGUUAGUUGCCAUCAUUUAGUUGGGCACUCUAGCAAGACUGCCGGUGACAAACCGGAGGAAGGUGGGGAUGACGUCAAAUCAUCAUGCCCCUUAUGACCUGGGCUACACACGUGCUACAAUGGGAAGUACAACGAGUCGCGAAGUCGCGAGGCUAAGCUAAUCUCUUAAAGCUUCUCUCAGUUCGGAUUGUAGGCUGCAACUCGCCUACAUGAAGCCGGAAUCGCUAGUAAUCGCGGAUCAGCACGCCGCGGUGAAUACGUUCCCGGGCCUUGUACACACCGCCCGU